GUAGGGAAUCUUCCGCAAUGGACGAAAGUCUGACGGAGCAACGCCGCGUGAGCGAAGAAGGUCUUCGGAUCGUAAAGCUCUGUUGUCAGGGAAGAACAAGUACCGUUCGAACAGGGCGGUACCUUGACGGUACCUGACGAGGAAGCCACGGCUAACUACGUGCCAGCAGCCGCGGUAAUACGUAGGUGGCAAGCGUUGUCCGGAAUUAUUGGGCGUAAAGCGCGCGCAGGCGGUUCCUUAAGUCUGAUGUGAAAUCUCGCGGCUCAACCGCGAGCGGCCAUUGGAAACUGGGGAACUUGAGUGCAGGAGAGGGGAGCGGAAUUCCACGUGUAGCGGUGAAAUGCGUAGAGAUGUGGAGGAACACCAGUGGCGAAGGCGGCUCUCUGGCCUGUAACUGACGCUGAGGCGCGAAAGCGUGGGGAGCGAACAGGAUUAGAAACCCCUGUAGUCC
This 451-nucleotide ribosomal RNA is filed under the name uncultured bacterium. RNAcentral describes it as "partial 16S ribosomal RNA". It matches the Rfam family "Bacterial small subunit ribosomal RNA", at positions 354 to 796 of the family's 1533-position model. The record is from RNAcentral.